Molecule: transfer RNA, 77 nt
Filed under: Candidatus Neomicrothrix parvicella RN1
Lineage: Bacteria; Bacillati; Actinomycetota; Acidimicrobiia; Acidimicrobiales; Microthrixaceae
Description: Candidatus Microthrix parvicella RN1 tRNA-Pro
Rfam family: tRNA
About the family: Transfer RNA (tRNA) molecules are approximately 80 nucleotides in length. Their secondary structure includes four short double-helical elements and three loops (D, anti-codon, and T loops). Further hydrogen bonds mediate the characteristic L-shaped molecular structure. tRNAs have two regions of fundamental functional importance: the anti-codon, which is responsible for specific mRNA codon recognition, and the 3' end, to which the tRNAs corresponding amino acid is attached (by aminoacyl-tRNA synthetases). tRNAs cope with the degeneracy of the genetic code in two manners: having more than one tRNA (with a specific anti-codon) for a particular amino acid; and 'wobble' base-pairing, i.e. permitting non-standard base-pairing at the 3rd anti-codon position.
Source: RNAcentral
CGGGACGUGGCGCAGCCUGGUAGCGCACCUGCUUUGGGAGCAGGGGGUCGGGAGUUCAAAUCUCCCCGUCCCGACGA